Long non-coding RNA from Cebus imitator (Panamanian white-faced capuchin), 1238 nucleotides. RefSeq lists it as uncharacterized. The record is from RefSeq and is a predicted model, not a curated record. Lineage: Eukaryota; Metazoa; Chordata; Mammalia; Primates; Cebidae. The transcript has 2 exons.
GCACGGCUUUGAAAGGGGGAUGGGAGAGCGAGCAGAAAGCAGAAAAACCAGCUUUGAACUAUGCAUGCAAGGCCUCUUUCAAGCCUCAAAUUCUAGCUGAUAGACACUGCUGGAUUCCAUGGCUGGCUAGGAGAUGAUCUGAUUUCUAGCAGGAGGGCAGUGGGCACCGCGCCACCUGAGCAGGAUGCCGGCCUCACACCUGCCCUGGCUUCGCUGCUAUCUGAACAGCAAAUAUAAGUUUAAAAAAAAAGGAGGGGGGGCACGUGCUUUCAGCUGGGUAACAGGAAUUUAGAUCUUAGCUGCCCUCUUGCCUCUGAGCCUUCACUGCUGACCUCUGGGUUGUCUGUCUGGAGGGCACACCAAUGACCACUAUGAAGCACUGACGCCGACCCUCACUGCCACACACCCCGGCCGCCUCCUCCUCCGAGUGAUGCCAGAUGAACUCAGCCACAAUUACGAACGAGGUGUUCAGGGGCUUAGGAAGGAGCCAGGAGCAGAUGCUCAUUGAAGAUCUGGGCUUUAAAGAGACAGAAACCUGCCCUCCAAUGAUUUAAUAUUUCAUACACGAUAAGAUGAAAAAAUGUGCCUGUCCUAAGACUGCUGAUGAAUGGGAAUACAGAAAUAAGGGGAAAAGGCUCCUAAGAGCUUUAUAUAUCAUAUACGGAAUAGGAGUCAAACAGUGAAGGCAGUUUUUGAUGUAUUUUUCCUAAUGAUCUCAGAUCAAAGGAUCUCGCCUUUAUUAGUGAUUUACCCCAUGCUGUUUUGAAACCUUAUGCAUGUAAAGUGGUUCUUUAAAGAACUCCAAAGCUGAUCUGGCCAUCACUGAUAAAACAGACUCUAAGAUAGAAAUAAAUAAACAAAUAAUAUGAGAGAAGAAAAAAAGAUUUGAAUAAAGGUAAGGUAUACUUCUGAAUUGGAAAUAUAAAUACUGUAGAUACACUGAUAAUUUCCCCCAAACUGAUCGACAGGUUUAAAGUAUUUCCAGUUAAAAUUCAGGUGGACCUCUAUUUUUCCAGGUACUUAACAAAACGAUUCUAAAGUUCACCUGCAAAAAUAAAAGAAAAAGAAGAAUGAGAACACUACUAAUGAGAAAGGCUAGUCCUACCAACUAUGAAGCUGUGGGAUUAAUGACAGUGUGACGGGGCGAAAGAGGCAGAUGAAUGGAACAGAAGCCACAGCCCCAAACUGAGAACUAUGUUGAUACAAAUGUAAUAUUGUAAUAAAGAAUGUAUCUCAAA